Molecule: long non-coding RNA, 453 nt
Filed under: Pogona vitticeps (central bearded dragon)
Lineage: Eukaryota; Metazoa; Chordata; Lepidosauria; Squamata; Agamidae
Description: lncRNA (ENSPVIG00000015187.1)
Source: RNAcentral
AAAUGGAGGAGCACAACUCAUAUUAACACCAGUUUCUGUUUAUAUAGGUCAUAGUAAGCGAUUGGUGUGGUGGUAUCCUUAUAGGUGAAUUAAGGCAAAGAACGACAUGGCUCAGAAGGGCAUUGUUGAAAAGAGUGAAUGCUGGCAGGCGCAGCUUUUCUAAAGUCUGCAUGUCCUACUACACUGGCCAAGGUUGCCUCUUCCUGCAUCUGUGAAAGAUUUAUCAUCAAUAACCACAUCAGCACUAUGCAGAUGUUCUUCUUCAUUAUCCCUAUGCAAGGGAGGGAGAUCACAAUACUGGAGGAGAGCUUAUGAGAGCUAGAAGCUUCUGAUCUACCUGAGAAGAGAACUCCACUUACAAGCCCACUGCUUUGCAUAAUACAGAAUAUAUCAUGCAUAGCACUGAUGGUUAAAAGGAUCAAGAAAAUAUAGCGUAAAUGUGUCAAAGUAGGU